This 44-nucleotide transfer RNA is filed under the name Asparagus officinalis (garden asparagus). RNAcentral's name for it is "partial tRNA-Ser". Lineage: Eukaryota; Viridiplantae; Streptophyta; Magnoliopsida; Asparagales; Asparagaceae. The record is from RNAcentral.
ACCGGUUUUCAAGACCGGAGCUAUCAACCACUCAGCCACCUCUC